This 274-nucleotide ribosomal RNA is filed under the name uncultured bacterium. Its description in RNAcentral is "partial 16S ribosomal RNA". It matches the Rfam family "Bacterial small subunit ribosomal RNA", at positions 523 to 796 of the family's 1533-position model. The record is from RNAcentral.
AGACGGAGGGUGCAAGCGUUAAUCGGAAUUACUGGGCGUAAAGCGCUCGUAGGCGGCUUGUUAAGUCGGAUGUGAAAGCCCCGGGCUCAACCUGGGAACUGCAUUCGAUACUGGCAGGCUAGAGUAUAGUAGAGGCAAGUGGAAUUCCGGGUGUAGCGGUGAAAUGCGUAGAUAUCCGGAGGAACAUCAGUGGCGAAGGCGACUUGCUGGACUAAUACUGACGCUGAGGAGCGAAAGCGUGGGGAGCAAACGGGAUUAGAUACCCCGGUAGUCC